GACGAACGCUGGCGGCGUGCUUAGCACAUGCAAGUCGAACGGAAAGGCCCUGCUUUUGUGGGGUGCUCGAGUGGCGAACGGGUGAGUAACACGUGAGUAACCUGCCCUUGACUUUGGGAUAACUUCAGGAAACUGGGGCUAAUACCGGAUAGGAGCUCCUGCUGCAUGGUGGGGGUUGGAAAGUUUCGGCGGUUGGGGAUGGACUCGCGGCUUAUCAGCUUGUUGGUGGGGUAGUGGCUUACCAAGGCUUUGACGGGUAGCCGGCCUGAGAGGGUGACCGGCCACAUUGGGACUGAGAUACGGCCCAGACUCCUACGGGAGGCAGCAGUGGGGAAUAUUGCACAAUGGGCGGAAGCCUGAUGCAGCAACGCCGCGUGCGGGAUGACGGCCUUCGGGUUGUAAACCGCUUUAGCCUGUGACGAAGCGUGAGUGACGGUAAUGGGUAAAGAAGCACCGGCUAACUACGUG
RNAcentral lists this ribosomal RNA (468 nucleotides) under uncultured bacterium. RNAcentral describes it as "partial 16S ribosomal RNA". It matches the Rfam family "Bacterial small subunit ribosomal RNA", at positions 28 to 507 of the family's 1533-position model. The record is from RNAcentral.